ACGGGUGCGUAACGCGUGGGAAUCUGCCCUUAGGUUCGGAAUAACAGCUGGAAACGGCUGCUUAUACCGGAUGAUAUCGCGAGAUCAAAGAUUUAUCGCCUGAGGAUGAGCCCGCGUUGGAUUAGGUAGUUGGUGGGGUAAAGGCCUACCAAGCCGACGAUCCAUAGCUGGUCUGAGAGGAUGAUCAGCCACACUGGGACUGAGACACGGCCCAGACUCCUACGGGAGGCAGCAGUGGGGAAUAUUGGACAAUGGGCGCAAGCCUGAUCCAGCAAUGCCGCGUGAGUGAUGAAGGCCCUAGGGUUGUAAAGCUCUUUUACCCGGGAAGAUAAUGACUGUACCGGGAGAAUAAGCCCCGGCUAACUCCGUGCCAGCAGCCGCGGUAAUACGGAGGGGGCUAGCGUUGUUCGGAAUUACUGGGCGUAAAGCGCACGUAGGCGGCUUUGUAAGUCAGAGGUGAAAGCCUGGAGCUCAACUCCAGAACUGCCUUUGAGACUGCAUCGCUUGAAUCCAGGAGAGGUCAGUGGAAUUCCGAGUGUAGAGGUGAAAUUCGUAGA
RNAcentral lists this ribosomal RNA (557 nucleotides) under uncultured bacterium. RNAcentral's name for it is "bacterial SSU rRNA". It matches the Rfam family "Bacterial small subunit ribosomal RNA", at positions 102 to 694 of the family's 1533-position model. The record is from RNAcentral.